RNAcentral lists this ribosomal RNA (581 nucleotides) under uncultured bacterium. RNAcentral's name for it is "bacterial SSU rRNA". It matches the Rfam family "Bacterial small subunit ribosomal RNA", at positions 953 to 1531 of the family's 1533-position model. The record is from RNAcentral.
GAAGCAACGCGCAGAACCUUACCAGCCCUUGACAUGUCCCGUAUGAGUACCAGAGAUGGAACUCUUCAGUUCGGCUGGCGGGAACACAGGUGCUGCAUGGCUGUCGUCAGCUCGUGUCGUGAGAUGUUGGGUUAAGUCCCGCAACGAGCGCAACCCUCGCCCUUAGUUGCCAUCAUUUAGUUGGGCACUCUAAGGGGACUGCCGGUGAUAAGCCGCGAGGAAGGUGGGGAUGACGUCAAGUCCUCAUGGCCCUUACGGGCUGGGCUACACACGUGCUACAAUGGCGGUGACAGUGGGACGCAAUGGGGAAACCCUGCGCAAAUCUCAAAAAGCCGUCUCAGUUCGGAUUGUGCUCUGCAACUCGAGCACAUGAAGUCGGAAUCGCUAGUAAUCGCAGAUCAGCACGCUGCGGUGAAUACGUUCCCGGGCCUUGUACACACCGCCCGUCACACCAUGGGAGUUGGAUUUACCUUAAGACGGUGCGCCAACCGCAAGGGGGCAGCCGGCCACGGUAGGUUCAGCGACUGGGGUGAAGUCGUAACAAGGUAGCCGUAGGGGAACCUGCGGCUGGAUCACCUCCU